Molecule: ribosomal RNA, 253 nt
Filed under: uncultured bacterium
Lineage: Bacteria
Description: partial 16S ribosomal RNA
Rfam family: Bacterial small subunit ribosomal RNA
Source: RNAcentral
UACAGAGGGUGCGAGCGUUAAUCGGAUUUACUGGGCGUAAAGCGUGCGUAGGUGGCUGUUUAAGUCGGAUGUGAAAGCCCUGGGCUUAACCUGGGAACUGCAUUCGAUACUGGAUAGCUAGAGUUCGGUAGAGGGCGGCGGAAUUCCGGGUGUAGCGGUGAAAUGCGUAGAUAUCCGGAGGAACACCGAUGGCGAAGGCAACCGCCUGGGCCUGAACUGACACUGAGGCACGAAAGCGUGGGGAGCAAACAGG